This 93-nucleotide microRNA precursor is filed under the name Prunus dulcis (almond). RNAcentral's name for it is "sRNA ncRNA". Lineage: Eukaryota; Viridiplantae; Streptophyta; Magnoliopsida; Rosales; Rosaceae. The record is from RNAcentral.
UCCGAGCCAUACAGAACAAAGGAUUAUGAAUUGACCAAUACCUUAGGUAUUGGUCAAUUCAUAAUCCUUUGUUCUGUAUGGCUCGGACUGAUA